UACGAAGGUCCCGAGCGUUGUUCGGAAUCACUGGGCGUAAAGGGCGCGUAGGCGGCCAACUAAGUCACACGUGAAAUCCCCAGGCUUAACCUGGGAACUGCGUGUGAUACUGGAUGGCUUGAAUUCGGGAGAGGGAUGCAGAAUUCCAGGUGUAGCGGUGAAAUGCGUAGAUAUCUGGAGGAACACCGGUGGCGAAGGCGGCAUCCUGGACCGGUAUUGACGCUGAGGCGCGAAAGCCAGGGGAGCAAACGGG
This 253-nucleotide ribosomal RNA is filed under the name uncultured bacterium. RNAcentral's name for it is "partial 16S ribosomal RNA". It matches the Rfam family "Bacterial small subunit ribosomal RNA", at positions 524 to 776 of the family's 1533-position model. The record is from RNAcentral.